RNAcentral lists this ribosomal RNA (403 nucleotides) under Fusobacteriota bacterium. RNAcentral describes it as "Fusobacteria bacterium partial 16S ribosomal RNA". It matches the Rfam family "Bacterial small subunit ribosomal RNA", at positions 355 to 776 of the family's 1533-position model. The record is from RNAcentral. Lineage: Bacteria; Fusobacteriati; Fusobacteriota.
UGGGGAAUUUUGCACAAUGGAGGAAACUCUGAUGCAGCGACGCCGCGUGAGUGAUGAAGAUCUUCGGAUUGUAAAACUCUGUCCUUAGUGAAGAUAAUGACAGUAACUAAGAAGCAAGCCCUGGCUAAAUACGUGCCAGCAGCCGCGGUAAUACGUAUGGGGCAAGCGUUGUCCGGAAUUAUUGGGCGUAAAGGGUACGUAGGCGGUUUAAUAAGUCCUAAUUAAAAGGCUAUGGCUCAACCAUAGUAUGGUUAGGAAACUGUUGAACUUGAGUAGAUGAGGGGAAAGUGGAAUUCCAUGUGUAGCGGUGAAAUGCGUAGAUAUAUGGAGGAACACCAAUGGCGAAGGCAACUUUCUGGAAUCAAACUGACGCUGAGGUACGAAGGCGUGGGGAGCCAACAGG